This 4314-nucleotide long non-coding RNA is filed under the name Aquilegia coerulea. RNAcentral describes it as "long non-coding RNA (ACOE_LNC000098)". The record is from RNAcentral. Lineage: Eukaryota; Viridiplantae; Streptophyta; Magnoliopsida; Ranunculales; Ranunculaceae.
UUCUUGCUUGCGGCCAACAUGGAAUGAAUGGAAUGCAUCUACGAAAUCCUGGACAGAGACAUAGUGAUAUGGUUCGUUUCUGGCCCAAUACUGAUACUGAUCUUUUCUUGAUGUUACCUAGUAUAGGAAGAAAUUAGAAAUCAGAUCAUUAGGCUCUCUAGGUUGAAUGUAAAAAUGUACACAAUCCUAAAAAAAUUAGAUAGAAGCUUACUUCUUGCAAGAAGUCUGCCACCCCUUUUCUUUCAGGACAUUUAAAACCCAUGGACUCAAAGAACUCAAGUACGUUCUCACGAGGACCUUGGUACACUAUCUGCCCAUCUGAAAGUAGAAUAAUUUCAUCGAAAAGGUCAUAAGUUUCUGGUGCUGGCUGAAGAAGUGCAAUUACUGCAGUUCCACCAAGUAUGUGAACAGACUGCCUUAGUGAAUUUACAAUCUGGAAAGUAGUUGAACUGUCAAGGCCUGUUGAUAUCUCAUCCAUGAACAAUGCUUUUGCUGGUCCGACAAGCAUCUCCCCUGUAUAUUAAAGAUUUUAGGAUUUGCUGAUCUCAAUUCAGAAGUUUUCUUAGUCCCAAUCACUGAAAACAUUUUGCUUUUCUCUACCUGUGGUGACACGCUUCCUUUGUCCUCCUGAGAUACCCCUCAUCAUCUCAUUACCUACAAACGUAUCGGCACAGAUAUCUAGUCCCAAAAUCUGAAAUUUGAAAAGAAGAUAUUAAGUUAAAUAAGGAGAAAAAGUACCAGUUAUAGGUGGCAUUAUAAAACUGAAUAAUUGCAAGCGUAUUUUUAGAAUAUACCUUGAGAAUGUAGUCUGUUACGACAUUUUCCUUCUGCCCUUCCAGUGCUGAUGCCUGUCCCAAAGAAAGAAAGAAGAGAAGUCUUAGAUGCAAAACCAUUAGAAAACUUCGACCAAACUUCACCAAGUGUUAAAACAGUUGUCAAGUUAUAAUAGGAUUUCAUUAAAUUUUGUCCGUUCAUGUUACAUCUCAUUUCAAGAUAUAACUUAUAAGUCAGUAAGCUUUCUUAGAAGAAUUGUGUUGUUACCUUCAUGUACACAUCAACAUCAGGAUCUGGCUUAAUAUUUGCUGCCACUUCUCUUCUUGACAGUUCUUUCAACAUUUCUGCACAUUUUCAUUACAUAGAUAUUUUGGAUUCAUUAUUUUGCAUAUACUAGCUAUAUGACUAUAUCCAUAACAUUUUUAGCUAUAUGCCUGUAUAUGCAUAGGAUAAAGCUUCUCUUGCUUACCAUAUCGGAACCCGACCCCUUGGCAUCUUGCAGAGAAGGCCAAGAUUUCCCUUACAGUCAUUUCUCCAAUGUGGAGAUCGUUCUGACUAAUAUAAGCAGAGGUCCUCCUUGGAACAAAUUCAUGCAUUUCAUGUCCAUUGUAAGUUACUUUUCCUGAAACCUACAGUAUAUGCAACAGAAAUCUCAAACUUUCACAUCCUGCAAAAUAAUUCUUAGCAUCUAGGAUUUGAUGAAGCAUUAAAAUCCCUCGAAAGGGGUAUACAGAUAAAUGAUCCAUUUCUUCACCUCUAGUGUUGGAUCAAGCUUUCCUGACAAAGCUAACAACAAACUAGUCUUCCCAGAUCCUGGAGGACCUAAUAACAAAGUCAUUCUGCAAAUGGCUCAAAGUUAGUCUUAGGUGAAACUAAAUGAAAGCCGAGAUUACUUGUAACCCAACUAUGGUUCAGUUGUCUUACCGGCUGGGUUUGAUGAUCCCACUAACAUCAUGAAGAAUUGACAAGUGUUUCUUUCUACUUGGGAGUAUGUGGAGCUGGUUCAAGAACCCCUUUACAACAAAAGUAAGAAUCAAUAUAUCAGUACUACUCAUGUUUAUGUUUCUGGUCUAGAAGGUAAGCCAACUUAAUUCUCAGUUCCUCUCUCUUACCUCUAGCAAAUUAACAGGAACAUUAACAACCGUAGGUAAAGCUCUGCUUCCGAUAUAGGCCUCUGCACUAACAUUUAGAUGCUCAAACCGAACUUCAAUUGUUGGAUUUUUAAUAUCCACCCUGAACAGAACAAAAAGAAGAUGAAAAAAACACUUUAGCAAUUCAUCAAAAUAUGAUGAGACGUUGUGAAUUAACAGAUGUAUAUAGAUUAUAGAAUGGAAUCAUGGGUGAGCUUACCGAUCCAUUCUUCCUUUGAGUUUGAGCAAAAACUUUUCAUUAUCAUCUUCGGCAACUCUGACCAGCCUCUCAACCAAAUUCUUCCUCUCUUGCGUAUCAAGAUGUUCUAUAUCAACUUCCUUAUGUGUUCCAUCAAGUCCACUCAAUAUACCUUUUCUGAUCCUAUUAUAUGUUGGUAGUCUCUCUAUAGAAGCCCAUUUCAAGGCUUCUUCAUCAUCUUCAUCACGAGAAGAUCGUGAGAAGACAUCAGCAUUUGUAUUUCUCCAUAUUCCUGAAGAAUUUUGACUUCUACGUAGACUAGCAACUCUGUAAAUAUCACUGUUGUCCAUUCUCACAAAAUCAAGCCAAAUUCAUCAAAGGAGACAAUAUAACAAAAGGGUUUCCUCUGUUUCUUAUAAUAAACUGAAUCCCACUGAGGUUUUCAGUUAAAAGAAAAAAAAAAAAAAAAAACUUUGAAAUCAAUAAUUAUUGAAACACAAGGUAUGUUAUUGUAUUGUCUUAGUGUUUUCUUUCUUUCUUUCCCUGAUAAGAAAGCAAAGAGAAAAAAGAAGGGAGAGUGUAGUGAGAGAGCUCAGGUGAUUGGAAGCUAAAUAGCAAAAAAAUAAUAUCCCAACUUAUCUUGACAUAUGCUGUCACUUUAUUGACUAAGGUGGUGACUUAUUAUUAUCUACUUUCAAUCCUGAUGGCUAUUAUUUAACAGGGAAAAAAAAAACUUUUACAAUAUAUAUAUCAUUUGAGGCGGCUUUGAAUUGCAAAUUCUAAACAGUGAUUUGUUGUUUAUUUUAUGGCUUUUGCAAUCUGCAUCAUUUUUUUGAUUUUUGCAUGGAGUCACUUCAGGAAUAGAUAUGUUGAAGUAGUAGUUGUUCUAAAUACGUAAACUGUUUCGGUUCCUGUUGUUGUUUUGCAUGAAGUAGUUAGUUGCUCUCAUGAGGGGAGCAGUCCUUGAGGGAUACAUUAAAGUCUCUUGAGGUUCGGUGCAUUUGGCUCGAUGAUCAUACUUUUUGUUGAACACAUUGUUAUCAAAACAAAUCAAAUUCCAAUAAAAUUCGUCUCAUUUAUAGAAGGGCACUCUCGGCUAUUUCCAUUCCAAUUUUUAGUUUAUUAGUUAAGCUAUGAUCAUUGCAAAAUUAUAAGUACAGUAUUCGCAUAAUAACCAUUGAUAUGUAUUUUGCAUAUAAAAGUUGAAAAAACUGCCUCGUAAACUAGUUCAUAAUGUGAAACUUUUCUAAAUGCACACCGUAUAGAAAUGCACAAAAAAUAUUAGUCUCAUAUAUAUAUAAUGGGGAUAUGUUAAUUUUUAUUUUAUAAACGCACACCCUCUGCAAAUGCACAUUUUUUCUUGGUCUCAAGGCCGUACAUUUAGAGACAGGUUUCACUGUAUAUGUCUUUUAAAAAUAGUAAAAAAAGGCUAUAGUAUAUUAGUAUAACUAUGAAGUAUUUGUGAUCUGGGGACCAAGUGAUUAGUUCUUAUGAACCCUGAAAUCAUCUUGUGGAAAAAUGUGGCAUGAUGUUGUCAAACUUGACAUGGUCACGUAAGGUGAACUACUUUACUCCAGAGUCCAGACAGAGAGCAGUGUACUAAGUUUGAAGCAUCUCCUUGGCUUGGACUGUAAUAUACUUAGUCUACCUGUUUUGUUUUCAUCAAAUAGACUGUAAUAGUUUAUACUUGAUUUGUUGUCAAUCAAUAUGAUAUACUAUUUCUUCCAGUGAGAACAAUUAUUUUUUUGUUUUCAUUGCUAAUUAAGAAUUUUGUUCUUCCAGCCGUACAACACAACAAAGUGGUCAGACUCAGACGAAGGAGAAGACCAUAAUGUUCAAGGUUAAGUGAGAUUAGGGGGCCGUUCGGCAAAUAAGUAAAAGCAGCGAAGGAAUUUUCGUCAAAGUAGCAGCGGAGAAAUGAGAAAGAUGAAAGGAGAAAGCUACUAUACCAGUGCAUACUUUCUAUUUUCUGACUUCUUAAAAUUACUUACUAUUUUUUUUAUUUACGUUGACAAACAUAUUUUCUACUUCUUUCCUUUUUAAAAGUUAAGAAAUGUAUUUCUACGCCUUUGCCGAACGGCCCUAAAUGCCUGGGACGAUUUACAUACCUGUGCAUGUUUAAGAUGUAAGCAACUAAGCAAUGAUUUCAUUCUAUGUUGAAAUUCCAAAAACUCAUACUGGAUUGAAUUCAAAUGAUAUGUGAUCUAGUUC